GGGCGUGUAGCAUAGACUGGAUAAUGCACUGGCCUCCUAAGCCAGGGAUCGCGGGUUCAAAUCCUGCCACGCCCG
RNAcentral lists this transfer RNA (75 nucleotides) under Deltaproteobacteria bacterium. RNAcentral describes it as "tRNA-Arg". It matches the Rfam family "tRNA". From Rfam's summary of the family: Transfer RNA (tRNA) molecules are approximately 80 nucleotides in length. Their secondary structure includes four short double-helical elements and three loops (D, anti-codon, and T loops). Further hydrogen bonds mediate the characteristic L-shaped molecular structure. tRNAs have two regions of fundamental functional importance: the anti-codon, which is responsible for specific mRNA codon recognition, and the 3' end, to which the tRNAs corresponding amino acid is attached (by aminoacyl-tRNA synthetases). tRNAs cope with the degeneracy of the genetic code in two manners: having more than one tRNA (with a specific anti-codon) for a particular amino acid; and 'wobble' base-pairing, i.e. permitting non-standard base-pairing at the 3rd anti-codon position. Lineage: Bacteria; Pseudomonadati; Myxococcota; Myxococcia. The record is from RNAcentral. RNAcentral also lists the same sequence under 2 other names.